UGUGUGGAACCAGGAUCAAUUAAUGCAUAAACAUAUUUGCCAAAGAUAGAAAAUUUAUCAGCUAUAACAUCUGGUUUGUCCUAGUCUUCCCUUGCACGAAUAGCAUAUGCCCUGGCAGGUGCUCUAGUGUCUGGUCUAUCUACUGUCUCUGAUACUCUGUGACUCUGAGCACUGCUAGAUUCACCUCUACCUCUACCUCUGCCUCUAGACCCUGUCGGCAAAGAUCUCUCUGUCUGUAUAGGCUGCACUGACUGGCCUCUAGGACAAUCCCUCAUAAAGUGGUAUGAGCUUCCACAUAAGUAGCAAGCCCCAGUCAAUCUCCUACAUACUCCACCAUGUCUCCUGCCACAAUGCUCACAUACUGGUGGCAACCCUCUGCC
Molecule: long non-coding RNA, 380 nt
Filed under: Manihot esculenta (cassava)
Lineage: Eukaryota; Viridiplantae; Streptophyta; Magnoliopsida; Malpighiales; Euphorbiaceae
Description: long non-coding RNA (MESC_LNC005501)
Source: RNAcentral